AGAGUUUGAUCAUGGCUCAGAACGAACGCUGGCGGCAGGCCUAACACAUGCAAGUCGAACGAGAAGCCACCUUCGGGUGGUGGACAGUGGCAGACGGGUGAGUAACGCGUGGGAACGUGCCUUUCGGUUCGGAAUAACCCAGGGAAACUCGGGCUAAUACCGGAUACGCCCUUCGGGGGAAAGAUUUCAUUGCCGAAAGAUCGGCCCGCGUCGGAUUAGCUAGUUGGUGGGGUAAUGGCUCACCAAGGCGACGAUCCGUAGCUGGUCUGAGAGGAUGACCAGCCACACUGGGACUGAGACACGGCCCAGACUCCUACGGGAGGCAGCAGUGGGGAAUAUUGGACAAUGGGCGAAAGCCUGAUCCAGCCAUGCCGCGUGGGUGAAGAAGGCCUUAGGGUUGUAAACCCCUUUCAGCGGGGAAGAUAAUGACGGUACCCGCAGAAGAAGUCCGGCUAACUCCGUGCCAGCAGCCGCGGUA
RNAcentral lists this ribosomal RNA (478 nucleotides) under uncultured Pseudomonadota bacterium. Its description in RNAcentral is "bacterial SSU rRNA". It matches the Rfam family "Bacterial small subunit ribosomal RNA", at positions 8 to 522 of the family's 1533-position model. The record is from RNAcentral. Lineage: Bacteria; Pseudomonadati; Pseudomonadota.